AGACCCGAAACCCGGUGAUCUAGCCAUGGGCAGGUUGAAGGUUGGGUAACACUAACUGGAGGACCGAACCGACUAAUGUUGAAAAAUUAGCGGAUGACCUGUGGCUGGGGGUGAAAGGCCAAUCAAACCGGGAGAUAGCUGGUUCUCCCCGAAAGCUAUUUAGGUAGCGCCUCGUGAAUUCAUCUCCGGGGGUAGAGCACUGUUUCGGCUAGGGGGCCAUCCCGGCUUACCAACCCGAUGCAAACUGCGAAUACCGGAGAAUGUUAUCACGGGAGACACACGGCGGGUGCUAACGUCCGUCGUGAAGAGGGAAACAACCCAGACCGCCAGCUAAGGUCCCAAAGUCAUGGUUAAGUGGGAAACGAUGUGGGAAGGCCCAGACAGCCAGGAUGUUGGCUUAGAAGCAGCCAUCAUUUAAAGAAAGCGUAAUAGCUCACUGGUCGAGUCGGCCUGCGCGGAAGAUGUAACGGGGCUAAACCAUGCACCGAAGCUGCGGCAGCGACGCUUAUGCGUUGUUGGGUAGGGGAGCGUUCUGUAAGCCUGUGAAGGUGUGUCGUGAGGCAUGCUGGAGGUAUCAGAAGUGCGAAUGCUGACAUAAGUAACGAUAAAGCGGGUGAAAAGCCCGCUCGCCGGAAGACCAAGGGUUCCUGUCCAACGUUAAUCGGGGCAGGGUGAGUCGACCCCUAAGGCGAGGCCGAAAGGCGUAGUCGAUGGGAAACAGGUUAAUAUUCCUGUACUUGGUGUUACUGCGAAGGGGGGACGGAGAAGGCUAUGUUGGCCGGGCGACGGUUGUCCCGGUUUAAGCGUGUAGGUGUGUGUUCCAGGUAAAUCCGGUUCACUUUAACACUGAGGCGUGAUGACGAGGCACUACGGUGCUGAAGCAACAAAUGCCCUGCUUCCAGGAAAAGCCUCUAAGCAUCAGGUAACAUCAAAUCGUACCCCAAACCGACACAGGUGGUCAGGUAGAGAAUACCAAGGCGCUUGAGAGAACUCGGGUGAAGGAACUAGGCAAAAUGGUGCCGUAACUUCGGGAGAAGGCACGCUGACACGUAGGUGAAGUGAUUUACUCAUGGAGCUGAAGUCAGUCGAAGAUACCAGCUGGCUGCAACUGUUUAUUAAAAACACAGCACUGUGCAAACACGAAAGUGGACGUAUACGGUGUGACGCCUGCCCGGUGCCGGAAGGUUAAUUGAUGGGGUCAGCGCAAGCGAAGCUCCUGAUCGAAGCCCCGGUAAACGGCGGCCGUAACUAUAACGGUCCUAAGGUAGCGAAAUUCCUUGUCGGGUAAGUUCCGACCUGCACGAAUGGCGUAAUGAUGGCCAGGCUGUCUCCACCCGAGACUCAGUGAAAUUGAACUCGCUGUGAAGAUGCAGUGUACCCGCGGCAAGACGGAAAGACCCCGUGAACCUUUACUAUAGCUUGACACUGAACAUUGAGCCUUGAUGUGUAGGAUAGGUGGGAGGCUUUGAAGUGUGGACGCCAGUCUGCAUGGAGCCGACCUUGAAAUACCACCCUUUAAUGUUUGAUGUUCUAACGUGGACCCGUAAUCCGGGUUGCGGACAGUGUCUGGUGGGUAGUUUGACUGGGGCGGUCUCCUCCUAAAGAGUAACGGAGGAGCACGAAGGUUGGCUAAUCCUGGUCGGACAUCAGGAGGUUAGUGCAAUGGCAUAAGCCAGCUUGACUGCGAGCGUGACGGCGCGAGCAGGUGCGAAAGCAGGUCAUAGUGAUCCGGUGGUUCUGAAUGGAAGGGCCAUCGCUCAACGGAUAAAAGGUACUCCGGGGAUAACAGGCUGAUACCGCCCAAGAGUUCAUAUCGACGGCGGUGUUUGGCACCUCGAUGUCGGCUCAUCACAUCCUGGGGCUGAAGUAGGUCCCAAGGGUAUGGCUGUUCGCCAUUUAAAGUGGUACGCGAGCUGGGUUUAGAACGUCGUGAGACAGUUCGGUCCCUAUCUGCCGUGGGCGCUGGAGAACUGAGGGGGGCUGCUCCUAGUACGAGAGGACCGGAGUGGACGCAUCACUGGUGUUCGGGUUGUCAUGCCAAUGGCACUGCCCGGUAGCUAAAUGCGGAAGAGAUAAGUGCUGAAAGCAUCUAAGCACGAAACUUGCCCCGA
Molecule: ribosomal RNA, 2111 nt
Filed under: Salmonella enterica
Lineage: Bacteria; Pseudomonadati; Pseudomonadota; Gammaproteobacteria; Enterobacterales; Enterobacteriaceae
Description: partial 23S ribosomal RNA
Rfam family: Bacterial large subunit ribosomal RNA
Source: RNAcentral